AACUAACAAGGAUUCCCUUAGUAACUGCGAGUGAAGAGGGAAAAGCUCAAAUUUAAAAUCUGGCAGUGUUUCACUGUCCGAGUUGUAACCUAGAGAAGUGUAACCUGCGCUGGACCGUGUAUAAGUCUCCUGGAAUGGAGCAUCACUGAGGGUGAGAAUCCCGUCUUUGACACGGACCACCAGUGCAUUGUGGUUGUGCUCUCAACGAGUCGAGUUGUUUGGGAAUGCAGCUCUAAAUGGGUGGUAAAUUCCAUCUAAAGCUAAAUAUUGGCGAGAGACCGAUAGCGAACAAGUACCGUGAGGGAAAGAUGAAAAGAACUUUGGAAAGAGAGUUAAACAGUAUGUGAAAUUGUUGAAAGGGAAACGUUUGAAGUCAGUCGCGUUGGUUGGGGAUCAGCCUGACAUUGUUGGGUGUACUUCCUGGUUGACGGGCCAACAUCAGUUUUGAUUGCCAGAAAAAGGCCAAAGGAAUGUGGCACCUUUGGGUGUGUUAUAGCCCUUGGUCGUAUAUGGUGGUUGGGACUGAGGAAAGCAGCGUGCCGAAAGGCCGGGUUUCGACCACGUUCACGCUGAGGAUGUUGGCAUAAUGGCUUUAAGCGACCCGUCUUGAAACACGGACCAAGGAGUCUAACAUGCAUGCGAGUGUUUGGGUGGAAAACCCUUACGCGUAAUGAAAGUGAAAGUUGAGAUCCCUGUCGUGGGGAGCAUCGACGCCCGGACCAGAACUUUUGGGACGGAUCUGCGGUAGAGCACGUAUGUUGGGACCCGAAAGAUGGUGAACUAUGCCUGAAUAGGGUGAAGCCAGAGGAAACUCUGGUGGAGGCUCGUAGCGAUUCUGACGUGCAAAUCGAUCGUCAAAUUUGGGUAUAGGGGCGAAAGACUAAUCGAACCAUCUAGUAGCUGGUUCCUGCCG
RNAcentral lists this ribosomal RNA (913 nucleotides) under Amanita flavorubens. RNAcentral's name for it is "partial 28S ribosomal RNA". It matches the Rfam family "Eukaryotic large subunit ribosomal RNA", at positions 63 to 963 of the family's 3401-position model. The record is from RNAcentral. Lineage: Eukaryota; Fungi; Basidiomycota; Agaricomycetes; Agaricales; Amanitaceae.